This 1468-nucleotide ribosomal RNA is filed under the name Salmonella enterica subsp. enterica serovar Infantis. RNAcentral describes it as "bacterial SSU rRNA". It matches the Rfam family "Bacterial small subunit ribosomal RNA". The record is from RNAcentral. Lineage: Bacteria; Pseudomonadati; Pseudomonadota; Gammaproteobacteria; Enterobacterales; Enterobacteriaceae.
AAAUUGAAGAGUUUGAUCAUGGCUCAGAUUGAACGCUGGCGGCAGGCCUAACACAUGCAAGUCGAACGGUAACAGGAAGCAGCUUGCUGCUUUGCUGACGAGUGGCGGACGGGUGAGUAAUGUCUGGGAAACUGCCUGAUGGAGGGGGAUAACUACUGGAAACGGUGGCUAAUACCGCAUAACGUCGCAAGACCAAAGAGGGGGACCUUCGGGCCUCUUGCCAUCAGAUGUGCCCAGAUGGGAUUAGCUUGUUGGUGAGGUAACGGCUCACCAAGGCGACGAUCCCUAGCUGGUCUGAGAGGAUGACCAGCCACACUGGAACUGAGACACGGUCCAGACUCCUACGGGAGGCAGCAGUGGGGAAUAUUGCACAAUGGGCGCAAGCCUGAUGCAGCCAUGCCGCGUGUAUGAAGAAGGCCUUCGGGUUGUAAAGUACUUUCAGCGGGGAGGAAGGUGUUGUGGUUAAUAACCGCAGCAAUUGACGUUACCCGCAGAAGAAGCACCGGCUAACUCCGUGCCAGCAGCCGCGGUAAUACGGAGGGUGCAAGCGUUAAUCGGAAUUACUGGGCGUAAAGCGCACGCAGGCGGUCUGUCAAGUCGGAUGUGAAAUCCCCGGGCUCAACCUGGGAACUGCAUUCGAAACUGGCAGGCUUGAGUCUUGUAGAGGGGGGUAGAAUUCCAGGUGUAGCGGUGAAAUGCGUAGAGAUCUGGAGGAAUACCGGUGGCGAAGGCGGCCCCCUGGACAAAGACUGACGCUCAGGUGCGAAAGCGUGGGGAGCAAACAGGAUUAGAUACCCUGGUAGUCCACGCCGUAAACGAUGUCUACUUGGAGGUUGUGCCCUUGAGGCGUGGCUUCCGGAGCUAACGCGUUAAGUAGACCGCCUGGGGAGUACGGCCGCAAGGUUAAAACUCAAAUGAAUUGACGGGGGCCCGCACAAGCGGUGGAGCAUGUGGUUUAAUUCGAUGCAACGCGAAGAACCUUACCUGGUCUUGACAUCCACAGAAGAAUCCAGAGAUGGAUUUGUGCCUUCGGGAACUGUGAGACAGGUGCUGCAUGGCUGUCGUCAGCUCGUGUUGUGAAAUGUUGGGUUAAGUCCCGCAACGAGCGCAACCCUUAUCCUUUGUUGCCAGCGGUCCGGCCGGGAACUCAAAGGAGACUGCCAGUGAUAAACUGGAGGAAGGUGGGGAUGACGUCAAGUCAUCAUGGCCCUUACGACCAGGGCUACACACGUGCUACAAUGGCGCAUACAAAGAGAAGCGACCUCGCGAGAGCAAGCGGACCUCAUAAAGUGCGUCGUAGUCCGGAUUGGAGUCUGCAACUCGACUCCAUGAAGUCGGAAUCGCUAGUAAUCGUGGAUCAGAAUGCCACGGUGAAUACGUUCCCGGGCCUUGUACACACCGCCCGUCACACCAUGGGAGUGGGUUGCAAAAGAAGUAGGUAGCUUAACCUUCGGGAGGGCGCUUACCA